RNAcentral lists this long non-coding RNA (235 nucleotides) under Bos taurus (domestic cattle). Its description in RNAcentral is "long non-coding RNA NONBTAT013696". The record is from RNAcentral. Lineage: Eukaryota; Metazoa; Chordata; Mammalia; Artiodactyla; Bovidae.
GGCUAGUUACUUGUUUUUAAAUUAACUACCCAAAGAUAUAUAAGAGAAUAGCAAGGCAUGAUACCUGAAACAAGAAGAUGAUAAGUCAGUUCUUAAACAUGAGUUUUUCUUGAAAGGGGAAAAAACAUGAUUCUGCAUGUAAAUCAGGAAAUAGCCCAAGAGUAAACCUGUGGCUUAAAGACAAACAUUAAGUCCUCAUGUACACUAAAAACUUUACCCCAGGCAAGUACAUUUU